AGGGUGUAAACGCUGCAGACUUGGUGUUGGAAGCCCUUUGGGGGCAUUCAGUGCCGGAGAGAAGUUGUUAAGUCUGCUACUUGGGAGUACGUCCGCAAGGAUGAAACUUAAAGGAAUUGGCGGGGAGCACCGCAACGGGAGGAGCGUGCGGUUUAAUUGGAUUCAACACCGUAAAACUCACCAGGGAAGACUGUUACAUGAAGGCCGAGAUGAGGACUCUGCUAGAUUUCAGAGAGGUGGUGCAUGGCGUCAGUGACU
RNAcentral lists this ribosomal RNA (258 nucleotides) under uncultured archaeon. RNAcentral's name for it is "partial 16S ribosomal RNA". It matches the Rfam family "Archaeal small subunit ribosomal RNA", at positions 748 to 1008 of the family's 1478-position model. The record is from RNAcentral.